UACAGAGGGUGCAAGCGUUGUUCGGAAUUAUUGGGCGUAAAGCGCGUGUAGGCGGCUUUGCAAGUCGGGUGUGAAAGCCCUCAGCUCAACUGAGGAAGUGCGCCCGAAACUGCAGAGCUUGAGUGCCGGAGAGGGUGGUGGAAUUCCCGGUGUAGUGGUGAAAUUCGUAGAUAUCAGGAGGAACACCGGUGGCGAAGGCGGCCACCUGGACGACAACUGACGCUGAGACGCGAAAGCGUGGGGAGCAAACAGG
Molecule: ribosomal RNA, 253 nt
Filed under: uncultured bacterium
Lineage: Bacteria
Description: partial 16S ribosomal RNA
Rfam family: Bacterial small subunit ribosomal RNA
Source: RNAcentral